GUGUUCCCCUCCCCCCCUAGUGCCGCAGCUAACAGCAAUUAAGUCAUCUCCGCCUGGGGGAGUACGGUCGCAAGACUAAAACUCAAAGGAAUUGACGGGGGCCCGCACAAGCAGGUGGAGCAUGUGGUUUAAUUCGAAGCAACGCGAAGAACCUUACCUGGACUUGACAUCCCUUGCCCGCCCUGGAGACAGGUGAAGCCCUUCGGGGCCAGGAUACACGGUGGUGCCUGGUUGUCGUCCCUCGUGGCCUGAGAUAGUUAGGUUAAAUCCUGCAACCAACGCACACCCUUGUUAUUAGUUGCUACCCUAAGUUUAGCACUCCAAUGAGACAGGCUGGGUAACCAGUGAGGAAGGUGGGGAUGACGUCUAUCAUCAUCGCCCCUUAUGUCAGGGCUACACACGUGCUACAAUGGGAAGUACAAUAAGAGGCAAGACCCUGAGGUGGAGCAAAACUUAUAAAACCUAUCUCAGUUCUGAUUGUAGGCUGCAACUCCCCUACAUGAAGCUGGAGUUGCCACUAAUCGCCAAUCAUAAUGUCGCGGUGAAUACGUUCUCCGGCGUUGUACACACCGCCCGUCACACCAUGACAGCUGGUAGCACCCGAAGUCCUUGAGGUAGCCGUAAGGAGCCACCGGCCGAAGGUGGUAUUACUGAUUGGGGUGAAGUCGUAACAACGUGGCCCGUAAUAACGGUUGUCUCCCCCUCUUUUGUGGCCCACCGCCUUUUAAACAC
Molecule: ribosomal RNA, 732 nt
Filed under: Clostridium lundense
Lineage: Bacteria; Bacillati; Bacillota; Clostridia; Eubacteriales; Clostridiaceae
Description: bacterial SSU rRNA
Rfam family: Bacterial small subunit ribosomal RNA
Source: RNAcentral